GACGAAGGUGGCAAGCGUUAUUCGAAAUCACUGGGCUUAAAGGGUGCGUAGGCGGACAUGAAAGUGUUUUGUGAAAUCCCCCGGCUUAACCGGGGAAUUGCUUGGCAAACUCCAUGUCUUGAGGCAAGUAGGGGUGUGUGGAACUCUUGGUGGAGCGGUGGAAUGCGUAGAAAUCAAGAGGAACGCCGAAGGUGAAGACAGCUCACUGGACUUGUACUGACGCUGAGGCACGAAAGCGUGGGGAGCAAACAGG
RNAcentral lists this ribosomal RNA (253 nucleotides) under uncultured bacterium. RNAcentral describes it as "partial 16S ribosomal RNA". It matches the Rfam family "Bacterial small subunit ribosomal RNA", at positions 524 to 776 of the family's 1533-position model. The record is from RNAcentral.